This 502-nucleotide ribosomal RNA is filed under the name uncultured bacterium. Its description in RNAcentral is "bacterial SSU rRNA". It matches the Rfam family "Bacterial small subunit ribosomal RNA", at positions 29 to 520 of the family's 1533-position model. The record is from RNAcentral.
AUUGAACGCUGGCGGCAUGCCUAACACAUGCAAGUCGAACGGUAACAGGGGCUUCGGCCCGCUGACGAGUGGCGGACGGGUGAGUAACGCGUAGGAAUCUGCCUGUUAGAGGGGGAUAGCCCGGAGAAAUCCGGAUUAAUACCGCAUACGUUCUACGGAAGAAAGGGGGCCUAUCCUUGGAAGCUCCCGCUAACAGAUGAGCCUGCGUCCGAUUAGCUAGUUGGUAGGGUAAAGGCCUACCAAGGCGACGAUCGGUAGCUGGUCUGAGAGGAUGAUCAGCCACACUGGGACUGAGACACGGCCCAGACUCCUACGGGAGGCAGCAGUGGGGAAUAUUGGACAAUGGGCGAAAGCCUGAUCCAGCAAUGCCGCGUGUGUGAAGAAGGCCUGCGGGUUGUAAAGCACUUUCAGUAGGGAAGAAAAGACUGCGGGAAAAUAAUCUCGUAGCCGUGACGUUACCUACAGAAGAAGCACCGGCUAACUCCGUGCCAGCAGCCGACGG